UCAUAACGUGAAUGUAAGUCGCUCUGGAUAAGAGCAUCUGCUAAAUGACGUAAA
Molecule: non-coding RNA, 54 nt
Organism: Salmo salar (Atlantic salmon)
Lineage: Eukaryota; Metazoa; Chordata; Actinopteri; Salmoniformes; Salmonidae
Source: Rfam